UACGUAGGGUGCGAGCGUUGUCCGGAAUUACUGGGCGUAAAGAGCUCGUAGGUGGUUUGUCGCGUUGUUCGUGAAAUUCCCUGGCUUAACUGGGGGCGUGCGGGCGAUACGGGCAGACUGGAGUACUGCAGGGGAGACUGGAAUUCCUGGUGUAGCGGUGGAACGCGCAGAUAUCAGGAGGAACACCGGUGGCGAAGGCGGGUCUCUGGGCAGUAACUGACGCUGAGGAGCGAAAGCGUGGGGAGCGAACAGG
Molecule: ribosomal RNA, 253 nt
Filed under: uncultured bacterium
Lineage: Bacteria
Description: partial 16S ribosomal RNA
Rfam family: Bacterial small subunit ribosomal RNA
Source: RNAcentral